CAGCCGCCGCGGGAAUACGAAGGGGGCUAGCGUUGCUCGGAAUCACUGGGCGUAAAGGGUGCGUAGGCGGGUCUUUAAGUCAGGGGUGAAAUCCUGGAGCUCAACUCCAGAACUGCCUUUGAUACUGGAGAUCUUGAGUUCGGGAGAGGUGAGUGGAACUGCGAGUGUAGAGGUGAAACUCGUAGAUAUUCGCAAGAACACCAGUGGCGAAGGCGGCUCACUGGCCCGAUACUGACGCUGAGGCACGAAAGCGUGGGGAGCAAACAGGAUUAGAUACCCCCGUAGUCCCUGUCUCUUAUAC
Molecule: ribosomal RNA, 301 nt
Filed under: uncultured bacterium
Lineage: Bacteria
Description: partial 16S ribosomal RNA
Rfam family: Bacterial small subunit ribosomal RNA
Source: RNAcentral